Long non-coding RNA from Amblyraja radiata (thorny skate), 266 nucleotides. RefSeq lists it as uncharacterized. NCBI's taxonomy places the organism in Eukaryota, Metazoa, Chordata, Chondrichthyes, Rajiformes, Rajidae. The record is from RefSeq and is a predicted model, not a curated record. The transcript is spliced from 3 exons.
UCACCUCAGUUUGCUGAACCGCACCAGAUUCUCACUGAGAAAGAUUAGCGCGUAGUGGCAAAUAUCCAGGAGGAAGAGAAGAAGAUUCCGAAUGCAAUGGAGUAAAAUCUUGAAGAGAUUCGAGAGAAAUUAAAUUCCAUUCAGGAGGAACUCUUAAAGCUACAGGCACAGAUGGAUCAACAAGACGCUGUGGUAUUUCUGAGGGAGAAAGCUGGUGCGAACAGGAGGGAUAGUGAGGAAGUGAGAACACUCUCAGUGACAGACGA